This 786-nucleotide ribosomal RNA is filed under the name Didymosphenia geminata (rock snot). Its description in RNAcentral is "eukaryotic LSU rRNA". The stretch from base 1 to 193 matches the Rfam family "Eukaryotic small subunit ribosomal RNA", at positions 1637 to 1831 of the family's 1831-position model. The record is from RNAcentral. Lineage: Eukaryota; Bacillariophyta; Bacillariophyceae; Cymbellales; Cymbellaceae.
UGCAUUGAUUACGUCCCUGCCCUUUGUACACACCGCCCGUCGCACCUACCGAUUGAAUGGUCCGGUGAAGGCUCGGGAUUGCAGCUAAUGCCUUUACUGGUGUUGGUUUCAAGAACUUGUCUAANCCUUAUCAUUUAGAGGAAGGUGAAGUCGUAACAAGGUUUCCGUAGGUGAACCUGCGGAAGGAUCAUUACCACACAAUAAUCCAAACCGCGCUUACAUUAAACCCAUAGGCUCUGGCCCUGCUAACUAGUGGUAAACCCCUCUGUAACCCAUCGAGUCUCUCUGGUGUUUACGACCUUAUAAGAUCUCAUUAUGUGCCACUGCCGUGAUGAUGCAACCUGGAGGCCAACGAGUACGAUCCACCAAUUUAAAUUCAAUCGACAGCUUGACGAGAGUCAAGUUUAAAAGUAUAACAUUCCAAUACAACUUUCAGCAAUGGAUGUCUUGGUUCCCAACACAAUGANGAACACAGCGAAAUGUGAUACGUAAUACGAAUUGCAAGACUUUGUGAAUCAUUGAAUUUUUGAACGCAUAUUGCGCUGCCAGAUUCUUUCUGGGAGCAUACACGACAGAGUAUCAUCAAACCCCAAUCUAUAACAUUAUUUGUUAUGGGCAAGUGAAGUUGGCUUUAAACAAAGCACUCCUUCUAAGUUAUUUAGUGCAGAGGCAUUUUCACAUUGUAGGAAACUCAGUGUAUUUGUUUCAACGUGCUAUUGGUCAAAAUUCACUUUUUGACUGNCUUCUUAACUGAUCUCUGACUGUGUAGGACUACCCGCUGAAUUU